AGCAGCUGAGCUACUCUGUGGUCUUGAACAUCACGUCAAGAAGCGCAGGAAGAUAUACAUGUGGGUACCAGCAGAGGAAUGAGAUGAAACAGAGGAGGAGCUCUGCCCUCAGUGCUGGCCGCAUCCUGAAUGUCCCAGGCAAUGUGGCGAGUUCCCCAGCAAGUCCAUCACCCCCAGCUCCCCAUGCCCGGAUCCUACACACCCUCCCCAUAGGCAUGGUGGUAGCAGUGGCAGCCGUC
Molecule: non-coding RNA, 239 nt
Organism: Anas platyrhynchos (mallard)
Lineage: Eukaryota; Metazoa; Chordata; Aves; Anseriformes; Anatidae
Source: RefSeq, a predicted model, not a curated record